Ovis aries (sheep) is the source of this 73-nucleotide non-coding RNA. The record is from Rfam. Lineage: Eukaryota; Metazoa; Chordata; Mammalia; Artiodactyla; Bovidae.
UCCCUGGUGGCUCAGAGGGUAAAGCAUCUGCCUGCAAUGCAGGAGAUCUGGGUUCAAUCUCUGGGUCAGGAAG